Molecule: long non-coding RNA, 173 nt
Organism: Pygoscelis adeliae (Adelie penguin)
Lineage: Eukaryota; Metazoa; Chordata; Aves; Sphenisciformes; Spheniscidae
Exons: 3
Source: RefSeq, a predicted model, not a curated record
UGUCUUGCAGGAACCUCGGGAAGUCUGGGCUGCGCGUGUCCUGCCUGGGCCUGGGGACAUGGGUGACUUUCGGAGGGCAAAUCACAGAUGAGAUGGCAGAGCAGCUGAUGACUUUAGCCUACGACAACGGCAUUAAUCUCUUCGACACGGCAGAAGUCUAUGCUGCUAGAAAG